Molecule: non-coding RNA, 809 nt
Filed under: Danio rerio (zebrafish)
Lineage: Eukaryota; Metazoa; Chordata; Actinopteri; Cypriniformes; Danionidae
Source: RNAcentral
GAAAAUUUUCAACUGAAGAAAACAUCUUACCAACUGAAGAAAACAACUCAUGCACAGUACAUCUUGGAUGGUCUGAAAAUGAGUAAACUAACAGCAAAUCUUAAUUUUAUGAGCAGAACAGAUGACUUUCAGUAAGGAUAAUGCAUCGUUUUCUCAAGUGCUACAUUUAAUAAUACUGGCGCCUUUGUCCAUGGUAUGAACUGCAUUUGAUUUAUUUACAUUUCAAAAACCUCCCAGUAAAAAGAUGUCAAUGCAAAGUCCCCACAGACCCGAUGCGCUACAAUGGUAGCUUAUAUCGUAGGUUCCAUUUCCUCUUGAGUAAUCCAAGGUCAACAUGCCCUGAGAUAUCAAUCCUUCCUGAAUCUGAAGUGUCCUUUCACAGUCUGUUCUCUAUAGCCAUGUGGCCUUGGUGGAGUGUCUCUUUGAGCGAUGAUGGAACCUGGCCACAGGGAAGUGACAGUAACGCAGAGCCCUACUGCGAUGAGCCUCCCUUGGGCUAUGACCCCUUCUUGGGUCUGGGGGGGCUGGUAGUCAGGCCUCUUCAGCGGUAGCAUCUAUUCCAGCAUAAGUGAAGUUCUCAAAGAGAGCCAUGUUGACAUAAGCCUAGAAUACAAAAAAGAAGUAGUGGUUUGGAGGGAACAGGCAGGGGGAACUGAAUAAAUAACCUUAAUUGGAGCUCAAAUGCAAUAUGUUUGUGCUACAUGAGGAAUAUUGAAAAACUAUCAAAUAUACGGAAAUCUAUUCGAUUUCAUGUCUAUUUUUUUUUCCAAAACAGCUUUUAGGGUCCACACCAAUGCCAAAAAAAAAAA